Molecule: ribosomal RNA, 406 nt
Filed under: uncultured bacterium
Lineage: Bacteria
Description: partial 16S ribosomal RNA
Rfam family: Bacterial small subunit ribosomal RNA
Source: RNAcentral
AUUGAACGCUGGCGGCAGGCCUAACACAUGCAAGUCGAACGAGUCGCGGACGCGUGAGUAAUGUCUGGGACACUGCCUGAUGGAGGGGGAUAACUACUGGGAACGGUAGCUAAUUCCGCAUACCAUCAGAUGUGCCCAGAUGGGUUUAGCUUGUUGGUGGGGUAAAGGCUCACCAAGGCGACGAUCCAUUGCUGGUCUGAGAGGAUGACCAUCCACACUGGAACUGAGACAAGGUCCAGACUCCUACGGGAGGCAGCAGUGGGGAAUAUUGGACAAUGGGCGCAAGCCUGAUGCAGCCAUGCCGCGUGUAUGAAGAAGGCCUUCGGGUUGUAAAGUACUUUAAGCGGGGAGGCGUUACCCGCAGAAGAAGCACCGGCUAACUCCGUGCCAGCAGCCGCGGUAAUUC